Astatotilapia calliptera (eastern happy) is the source of this 3023-nucleotide long non-coding RNA. NCBI's taxonomy places the organism in Eukaryota, Metazoa, Chordata, Actinopteri, Cichliformes, Cichlidae. The record is from Ensembl.
GUAAGUCGAAACCUUAAAUGUCCGAUUCGUGCAAGAGUUCUGCCUGUCUUACACUACACGGGGAUUGAAGAUGCACUUAACAGUUUUAUUGCAUUGUCUUUUAUGUAUAUGUGCUGCGUCUAUUGGUUACAAAUCAUCUUUUAGUGUGAUUCUAAUACACCGAUGAUGGAUUUAAACCCAAGUGAUACAUCAUUCGAUUGUAUUUGCGGAAUUAAGGCAGGCGUUGUGUUAAUUCAGUGAAGAGUGGCUCACACUUCUGGGCAAUUACAGGUAUUCUCAGAAAGUAACUUGAUCGGCGGAGAAACGUCAGAGCUUUACGCUGUGUUUUAAUGUAUUUUUACGUUUCUUUAUUGUACCUAUGUAGAAAAAUAACACUGCGCUUGGACAUAAGGCUGAGAGGAUGGGGAGUUGUGUCCGAUGCAUGCUAAUUCUUGGUGUGCAUAAACGUGCCCCUUUUGCUGGUCUGCAAAUGUGUGUGUGUGUGUGUGUGUGUGUGUGUGAGUGAGAGAGAAAAAGAGAGAGAAAGAGAGAGAGGGGGGGGGGGGGGAUUGAGGGAAGGAAGAGAUUAGCCUACUCUUUCCAAAACGUCCCCCUGUGAUUACAGUAGGCUGAGACGUUUAUUAAACUCCCUUUAAGUUACACGGAUGGACUGGUGCUGCUGCUGCGUGUGUGUGUGUGUGUGUGUGUGUGUGUGUGUGUGUGUGUGUGUGUGUGUGUGUGUGUGAGAGAGAGAGAGAGAGAAAGAGAGACAGUGAGAGAGAGCUAGAAAGAGAGAGAGAGAAUAAAAGGUUUUAAUCGCAUGUCCGAUAUGUGCUGGUUAUCGCCAACGAAAAUAUUGGUUUGGCAGGUACGCAAAUGCGGGAGUGUGUGUGUGUGUGUGUGUGUGUGUGUGUGUGUGUGUGUGUGUGUGUGAGAGAGAGAGAGAGAAAGAGAGACAGUGAGAGAGAGCUAGAAAGAGAGAGAGAGAAUAAAAGGUUUUAAUCGCAUGUCCGAUAUGUGCUGGUUAUCGCCAACGAAAAUAUUGGUUUGGCAGUUGCGGGGACGGAGUACGAACUCCGUGUCCGGAGGUGGAACCUGUUCCGCGGCCGCUGAAGUCUUUUCAGCACCACGGACAGCGCAGUCAAACUGCGCCCAGAGGGAGCGUUUCCUUUCCACAGAGGGAUUUUUACUGAUAUUUUAUCGACAUCGAUGGCUGCGCCCCAACCCAGACUGUCCCCACCAUGGAGAAUUUCUUUCCAGCACACAGAGUGAGGAAGUUUCUGUAAAAAGAAAAUAAUAAUAAUAAAAUAAAACAAAAGGAAAUCAUCUACUGUAGAGACCCAACAGCCUUUACUCAGAAAACAACAACAAAAACAAGCAAUAUUCUGAUGCAAAAUGACUCAUUGACAGGUGCCACACCCUGUUUAUUCCCAGAGCCACGUAGGCCUAAUUUAUUACAGUCCAUCUCAUUGUCCAAAUGUGCAAUGUGUCUGAAUGCUUAUGUAGGACUAAUAUGACCAUUUUUCAGUCAUUGCACUGUCCAGGUGCUUGUGUUUAGAUAAAGAGAAUUUGGAAAAGCUAUCUAUUAUGAUUGUUUAUUUAGUAUUGGUGGUGGCAUAGAGGCGAUGUUUGGACAUCAAAUUGUUCUGAAAAUGGAUGGUUAUGAAAAUCACUAUCUCACAAUGUAAUCAUUGAAUUAUUUAAAAAAUAAAUAAAUAAAAAAUCAAGAUUGCUCUGGUGAAGAGAGAGCCUUUCUUACAAAAAAGAAAGAAAGAAAAUCAAAAGAAAUCCCUGUGCAUACUUGAAAUAAAUCCUAAAUAAUAGGCAGAAGCUAUUAUUUCAUUUGAUAUCUAAGUCAUAACUCUUUAUAAACCAAAAACCUAUGAAGGCGCAUAUUAUUCACUUGAAGUCUGAGUCUGUUUGGCUGAUAUACCCCUGGACUUGCUCACCAUCAUUCACUGGCUCUCAAGAGAAAUGUCUGUCUCAAUGCUAUGUUUGCUAUUCUCUAUUGAGGUCAUUGAACAAGUGCCCUCAUUUAUGUUGUCAUAGUGUUUUCAUUGUCAUUUGGUACUUUAUACUAAAUGACAAUGAAAAAACAAAACAACAACAAAUAAACAACCUUCUCUAUGCCUUGUCAAAGUUACUGUACAAUGACACUGAAAACAGAAAUUCACAUUCUUUAUGUGUGUGGAUUAAUAAUCAUGGUUAAAUCAGUUUGCACUGACAGUAACAAUAAACAAAGAGGAAUAGAUUCUGAUUUAAACAGUGGUAGAUUCUAAUUCAGGAAUAAAUUAUCUACUGCAAACCAAGGCCCGCCCACUUUAAGGAACAGAAAACACUCAUAUGAUGCUCUAACCCUGAAUGCAUCUGUGAGUGAAUGGCUCUACUCAGCCUCAGCAGUUACACACUUUCUCAUGUGGCUCGUGAAGAAUGACGUCAUUACAGGAAUUGUGAUGUCACUAGUUCUUUUUUUGGUUUAGACUGGGUGUGGUGAGUGUGUAGUGUUGAGCAACUGUGUUACAGAAGAGGGCCCGGCGUUUGAAACACAUGGGAAUGUUUCUGCUAAAGGUGUUAGAAUUCCUUUUUGGAAACUGUAGGAUCCAGGAUUUGUAAGGCAUUAAUCUUAAAACUUUAAUUCAAAUUAUUCCUUCAGUGUUGUUAAUGCUUGGCUAUCAGCUAACAUGCAGCACAAGGCACAUAGCUGUUUGCCUUCAAUUAUUGCUUUAAGUUUAGCAAUUUGAAGCUUUUUUACAUUCCUUUAACUGAUAUGCAUUCCUUUGUAGCCAGAAAACAACAAAAGCAUGAAUUGCUUUUGUGUCUUUAGCUGCUCAUUGCUAACAGUCCCAACAGAACUGUCAGCAGUGCUCAUCUGAUAUGUUGAUAUCACUAGCAUUUAUUGUCUGUCAAUGCUUGAUGCCAGAAUGACGCUGGAGGGCUAAUGCCUUCUGUCGAGACUGCUUGGUGAAAUUGAUAGGCCUGCUUUGACAGAUGAGAUAACCUGCAAUCGCAGGGAAACACAAUUUACGAGUAUGGCAGAUGGAUGC